GACGAACGCUGGCGGCGUGCUUAACACAUGCAAGUCGAACGGAAGGGCCCUGCUUGCAGGGUGCUCGAGUGGCGAACGGGUGAGUAACACGUGGGUGAUCUGCCCCUUACUUUGGGAUAAGCCUGGGAAACUGGGUCUAAUACUGGAUAGGACCAUGCUGUAGGUGGUGUGGUGGAAAGAUUAGUUUCGGUAAGGGAUGAGCUCGCGGCCUAUCAGCUUGUUGGUGGGGUAAUGGCCUACCAAGGCGUCGACGGGUAGCCGGCCUGAGAGGGUGGACGGCCACAUUGGGACUGAGAUACGGCCCAGACUCCUACGGGAGGCAGCAGAGGGGAAUAUUGCACAAUGGGCGCAAGCCUGAUGCAGCGACGCCGCGUGGGGGAUGACGGCCUUCGGGUUGUAAACUCCUUUCAGCCAUGACGAAGCCCUUGUGGUGACGGUAGUGGUAGAAGAAGCACCGGCUAACUACGUG
RNAcentral lists this ribosomal RNA (469 nucleotides) under uncultured bacterium. RNAcentral describes it as "partial 16S ribosomal RNA". It matches the Rfam family "Bacterial small subunit ribosomal RNA", at positions 28 to 507 of the family's 1533-position model. The record is from RNAcentral.